GUGCCUAAUACAUGCAAGUCGAACGAGUUCUCGUUGAUGAUCGGUGCUUGCACCGAGAUUCAACAUGGAACGAGUGGCGGACGGGUGAGUAACACGUGGGUAACCUGCCCUUAAGUGGGGGAUAACAUUUGGAAACAGAUGCUAAUACCGCAUAGAUCCAAGAACCGCAUGGUUCUUGGCUGAAAGAUGGCGUAAGCUAUCGCUUUUGGAUGGACCCGCGGCGUAUUAGCUAGUUGGUGAGGUAAUGGCUCACCAAGGCGAUGAUACGUAGCCGAACUGAGAGGUUGAUCGGCCACAUUGGGACUGAGACACGGCCCAAACUCCUACGGGAGGCAGCAGUAGGGAAUCUUCCACAAUGGACGCAAGUCUGAUGGAGCAACGCCGCGUGAGUGAAGAAGGCUUUCGGGUCGUAAAACUCUGUUGUUGGAGAAGAAUGGUCGGCAGAGUAACUGUUGUCGGCGUGACGGUAUCCAACCAGAAAGCCACGGCUAACUACGUGCCAGCAGCCGCGGUAAUACGUAGGUGGCAAGCGUUAUCCGGAUUUAUUGGGCGUAAAGCGAGCGCAGGCGGUUUUUUAAGUCUGAUGUGAAAGCCCUCGGCUUAACCGAGGAAGCGCAUCGGAAACUGGGAAACUUGAGUGCAGAAGAGGACAGUGGAACUCCAUGUGUAGCGGUGAAAUGCGUAGAUAUAUGGAAGAACACCAGUGGCGAAGGCGGCUGUCUGGUCUGUAACUGACGCUGAGGCUCGAAAGCAUGGGUAGCGAACAGGAUUAGAUACCCUGGUAGUCCAUGCCGUAAACGAUGAAUGCUAGGUGUUGGAGGGUUUCCGCCCUUCAGUGCCGCAGCUAACGCAUUAAGCAUUCCGCCUGGGGAGUACGACCGCAAGGUUGAAACUCAAAGGAAUUGACGGGGGCCCGCACAAGCGGUGGAGCAUGUGGUUUAAUUCGAAGCAACGCGAAGAACCUUACCAGGUCUUGACAUCUUUUGAUCACCUGAGAGAUCAGGUUUCCCCUUCGGGGGCAAAAUGACAGGUGGUGCAUGGUUGUCGUCAGCUCGUGUCGUGAGAUGUUGGGUUAAGUCCCGCAACGAGCGCAACCCUUAUGACUAGUUGCCAGCAUUUAGUUGGGCACUCUAGUAAGACUGCCGGUGACAAACCGGAGGAAGGUGGGGAUGACGUCAAAUCAUCAUGCCCCUUAUGACCUGGGCUACACACGUGCUACAAUGGAUGGUACAACGAGUUGCGAGACCGCGAGGUCAAGCUAAUCUCUUAAAGCCAUUCUCAGUUCGGACUGUAGGCUGCAACUCGCCUACACGAAGUCGGAAUCGCUAGUAAUCGCGGAUCAGCACGCCGCGGUGAAUACGUUCCCGGGCCUUGUACACACCGCCCGUCACACCAUGAGAGUUUGUAACACCCGAAGCCGGUGGCGUAACCCUUUUAGGGAGCGAGCCGUCUAAGGUGG
RNAcentral lists this ribosomal RNA (1459 nucleotides) under Lacticaseibacillus casei. Its description in RNAcentral is "bacterial SSU rRNA". It matches the Rfam family "Bacterial small subunit ribosomal RNA". The record is from RNAcentral. Lineage: Bacteria; Bacillati; Bacillota; Bacilli; Lactobacillales; Lactobacillaceae.